GACGAACGCUGGCGGCGUGCUUAACACAUGCAAGUCGAACGGAAAGGCCCUGCUUUUGUGGGGUGCUCGAGUUGCGAACGGGUGAGUAACACGUGAGUAACCUGCCCUUGACUUUGGGAUAACUUCAGGAAACUGGGGCUAAUACCGGAUAGGAGCUCCUGCUGCAUGGUGGGGGUUGGAAAGUUUCGGCGGUUGGGGAUGGACUCGCGGCCUAUCAGCUAGUUGGUAGGGUAGUAGCUUACCAAGGCUAUGACCGAUAGCCGGGCUGAGAGGAGGAGCAGCCAGAGGGGGACUGAGACACGGACGAGACUCCUACGGGAGGCAGCAGUGGGGAAUAUUGGACAAUGGGCGAAAGCCUGAUCCAGCAAUGCCGCGUGAGUGAGGAAGGCCUUAGGGUUGUAAAGCUCUUGUACCCGGGAUGAUAAUGACAGUACCGGGAGAAUAGGAUACGGCUAACUCCGUG
This 463-nucleotide ribosomal RNA is filed under the name uncultured bacterium. RNAcentral describes it as "partial 16S ribosomal RNA". It matches the Rfam family "Bacterial small subunit ribosomal RNA", at positions 28 to 507 of the family's 1533-position model. The record is from RNAcentral.